This 460-nucleotide ribosomal RNA is filed under the name uncultured bacterium. RNAcentral describes it as "partial 16S ribosomal RNA". It matches the Rfam family "Bacterial small subunit ribosomal RNA", at positions 338 to 795 of the family's 1533-position model. The record is from RNAcentral.
CCUACGGGGGGCAGCAGUGAGGAAUAUUGGUCAAUGGACGAGAGUCUGAACCAGCCAAGUAGCGUGAAGGAUGACUGCACUAUGGGUUGUAAACUUCUUUUAUAUGGGAAUAAAAUGUUCCACGUGUGGGAUUUUGUAUGUACCAUAUGAAUAAGGAUCGGCUAACUCCGUGCCAGCAGCCGCGGUAAUACGGAGGAUCCGAGCGUUAUCCGGAUUUAUUGGGUUUAAAGGGAGCGUAGGUUGAUUGUUAAGUCAGUUGUGAAAGUUUGCGGCUCAACCGUAAAAUUGCAGUUGAAACUGGCAGUCUUGAGUACAGUAGAGGUGGGCGGAAUUCGUGGUGUAGCGGUGAAAUGCUUAGAUAUCACGAAGAACUCCGAUUGCGAAGGCAGUUCACUGGACUGCAACUGACACUGAGGCUCGAAAGUGUGGGUAUCAAACAGGAUUAGAUACCCGAGUAGUC